This 505-nucleotide long non-coding RNA is filed under the name Oryza sativa (Asian cultivated rice). Its description in RNAcentral is "long non-coding RNA (OSAT_LNC001961)". The record is from RNAcentral. Lineage: Eukaryota; Viridiplantae; Streptophyta; Magnoliopsida; Poales; Poaceae.
GUCAUGCCUGGAACGACCAAACUCUUCGCCCCGUGCUUGAUCAGCCUCUGCCAUCAUUAGCCGAGUUCAUCGGGUGAUCGGUACUAAUAUUACUUGUAGUAUUCAUUUCAGUUCCAGAUUAAUGUCACAUGAUUGAUUAUCAUGUACUAGAUAAUUAUUACCUCGAUGGCUAUGGAGAUGGUUUCGAUGAUAUAUGGGACGAACGAUCUGAUCUCUUCCAUGCUCUUCUUCCUGAAGAAGAACUCGUAAUCGUUGAAUCCGAAUUCGCCGACGAAGAAGAGGGAUCUCCCGAAGAAAUCCUUGCAUUCUGCAGAGCAAAGGUAUGAACUGCCUUUUUAGUUUCGCCAAUUCUACGCGAAUCUGUGAUACAUAGCUGCUACUCUUUUUGCCUUGUGUUGUGCUGCAGAGCGAAGGCUUGAGCGACUCGAACCAGCCCAGCUGAACGCCGAGGCUGGUGUUGACCGGGAACGGGCUGGCGCCCGGAGGAGGAUCGCCGGCGUGGAAG